Molecule: unclassified non-coding RNA, 218 nt
Filed under: Hevea brasiliensis (rubber tree)
Lineage: Eukaryota; Viridiplantae; Streptophyta; Magnoliopsida; Malpighiales; Euphorbiaceae
Source: RNAcentral
GGUCACAGACAUGAUCAUUAAAAAAUGUCAUUCAUUGCUUACAAGUUUUCAUGUUUGCAGCAAAAGGUCAAUUACCAAUACCAUUCUUCAAAACUUCAAUUGCAAUAAUCAAAUAGGAAUGAAGAGAGACCACAACAAAAUUAAUCUUAUUAAGGAAGCACAAGUCCAAGGUCCAAUUAGUAGCAUCAAAUGACAAAAUAUAAAAAAAUUUAUUAAAC